Long non-coding RNA from Danio aesculapii, 1660 nucleotides. RefSeq lists it as uncharacterized. The transcript is spliced from 3 exons. The record is from RefSeq and is a predicted model, not a curated record. NCBI's taxonomy places the organism in Eukaryota, Metazoa, Chordata, Actinopteri, Cypriniformes, Danionidae.
CAACACUUUAAAAAGGAAGCAUCCAGCUGAUGUAGGACCUUUGAAAAAUAUAAAAAAACAGAGGUUAAUUACCUCCCUCCACACCCUACUGGUGAAAGCCAAGAGACACUGGAGAAAGAGAGACUUGAAUUAAUUUGUGAAAUUACAAAGAAAAACAAUGCAAAGACAAUUGCAGAUAAAAUGAAUAAAACCUUCUCUAGCCGAAGAAUUGAAGUGGUCAGCCUCAGCCCCUCAGUUGGUGUGUUUAAAGAAAGGUGGCCAGCAUUAUUCACUGAGGCUCAGAUCAAGGAGGAGUUCAGACGCAUCACAACAGUUUCCUUGGAGGACACAUUCCUGCGGAAGCUUGAUGAGUACACACCUGGUCUUUUGCAGCUAAUGCGUGCCAAAGGAGGAGCAGCUGGUUGCAAGAUGCGUCCUCUGCUGGACACUUUAAUUGAAUGUUAUUUUAUUUUUUCACAAAUAUAUAAUUAUUAAUAUGAGGGAAUUAAAAGUGAAAUAAUUUGUAAACAAUUGCUUUGUUGUGUUAAGUUGAGCUCCUUACCAACUUAAACUACCUUUUAACAUCAAUGUGUGAAUUCGGUCUUAUCAAUCCAUUUUCUUUACUGCUUUAUCCAUUCGGGUUACGAGAAGCUUGAGCCAACCAAGCAUUUAUCAGGCGAAGGGGUAGGGUUCACCCUGGACAGGUCACCAGUCUAUUGCAGGACUGGAAUUCAGUCUUAGUAUAUGUAAAUCACUCCUCAUUCUGCUAAAUUGUAUCUCCCUACAGACACAGAACAUUGAGAAAAAAAGAGAUGCUGUUGUCUGCUGCCUCAUUAACUACCUCGGUGAAAGACAAGAAGAUCUUUUCCAUGACUGGCAGGAAUGUGAGACAAGUACACAGACAAGACGAUGAAGGUGAUUGUGAAACACAAUGUCAUGGCUGAGGAGGACGAUUUGUCCAUUGUGAUCGAGGGAAACCAAGUGAUGGAAGGAUGUGGAAGCCGAACAAAGGCAUGCAUACUGCUGAUGGGACUCAUAUAUGCAAUCAACAUUGAAUAUCCAAAGGAGCUGAAGAACACGUUUUAGGCUUUUCAAAAACUUUUUUUGGAAAUUGAUGGGGCAAAACUACUGAAGAAGGUCCAAAGCCUCAAAAAUAAGCUCAUGCAGUAGACAUUUCUCCUCUUGUUUGAAGAGGAUCUUUUGUUUGGAUAUACCUUGAUGGAGUUGUAAUGGAGUGUUUUAUAUUUUUCUUCUCUUCCCUCAUUUGCUCCACACACAGACACAGACCCAUCCACUGUCUCUCAGCCCUCUACAUUGCUCUUGUUUUCUCCCAUAUUGACAGAAAAGGAAUACUUAUAGAAAGUGGCCUGAACAAUUUUGAUCUCACCUACCCUCUUUUCCUCCCCAUUUGUUUAUUUUAUUCUCAUCCUAUCUGCGAGAGUGAGAGUAGGACAAAAACUAAAGAAUGUUGGUAUUUUGUUUUACUUUUAUUCAGAUAUUUUAUACUGUACAUACACAUAAACAACCACAAGUUUGUGUGUGCUUUUGGCUUUUAAAAUAGAAUAAGUGGCCUUUGAAAGUGUUGUAAGCAAGUAGCCAAUUAUCCAGAAAAAACAUUUGAAAAUCAUCUUAGUGAGUUAUAAUACAGGUUUAUUCAUUCAUUGUUGUGUUAAGAUGUACU